This is a long non-coding RNA of Thunnus maccoyii (southern bluefin tuna), 2698 nucleotides long. RefSeq lists it as uncharacterized. The transcript is spliced from 4 exons. Lineage: Eukaryota; Metazoa; Chordata; Actinopteri; Scombriformes; Scombridae. The record is from RefSeq and is a predicted model, not a curated record.
CCUGUAGGAUAAUGAACCCAGGAACAGAAGAAAUGUUUAAUUCUUUCAAAAAAAAAAGAUUUCUUUUGGCCUAACAGUCUGUCUGUUUAGGUGCAGGAGCACACACAUGCGCACAGACCCAAUGACCAGGGGCCAUGACCAUGACCUCUGACCUAAAGGCCAGGAAACCAUUGAACAUAACUUAAAACCCAGCCUUCUCACUACCAGCCAUGGAAAGAAAAUGGACAGUUUUGGAAAUUGACAACUUUGUUUUCUUUUCAGAUACAAACAGCCAAACCUGCAUGGACUAUCCUCCCUUCUACUGCUAGUCAACUAUCUCUUAAGUCAUACAUUUUUGGAGAAUCUGCAUUACCUUGAGUCACCCCAUCUCCUUCUCUCCUUUUUCUUUAAUGUGCAAUAAGUGUCUUGACUUGUCCAACCAAUGUUAACCCUCAUGUUAAGUCCAAGAAAAAUUUAAUUAGUUUGAUAUUAUGGAAAUUCAAACUCUGCUUCAAAAUUUGUUAAUUAUAAGUCACACAUAUUAUUGCAUUUGAUUUAUUUGAUAUUAACCAGUGUAUGUGUGUUAUUUAGCUGAGGUUCUAUUGCUAGAAUAAUGCUUUCUCUCGUAGAUUUAAUUACAGAUUAGGAAAUGAAGGUAUAUUGAUUUUAUUCUGUGUUUUAUUUGGUUAAUCAAUGUCACUGGUUCAUGAUGUGGUAAUGAAAUUGGCAAUGGCAACAGAAAUGAGUGAGUAUUCAUUUUGCAAGUGUGCAUAGUCUUUAAAUAUUCUAUAAGAAUAAAAUUAUUCCCUUUUAUUUGAGGGUCAGUUUUUCUCUCCACACAUAGGAAUUAAUUAGUAAUCAAUGCAAGAAUGCCAAGAAUCCUCUUUCUCCUUAAACAUGCCUCUAGACUAUAAAAACUUUUACAACUCUUUGUCAAGUGGCUGAUGCUCUUCUUCUGCGUUGUUGCCUGGCUGACUGCUGCUGCUUCUUCUGUUUUUUCUCGGCCUUAUCAGCCGUGAUAGUUGCUCAUGCGUUGAGGACGUUUUUUUAAUAUGGCUGAGAGAUGAUAGCUCCAGAAAGAGACUCAACUAAGGAGCAAAAGAUUGCAAAGAUGCCUAAGCCACAAGCCAAGCCACACCGUUUGCCAUUUGAAUAUAUGUUAUUUUCGUAAUCUCCUAUUUUCAUCCAAGUCUACAGCUUGCCACUGAAUGACCCCUCCCUGCUGUGUGUGUCCACGACGCGGCCUCAGCUAGUCUGAGACUGAGUUCAUCCUCUUAAGAAGCAGUGACCCAAAGUGCUUCACUGCACCUGCUGCAGCCUUCUCAUCUGGCUGUCACUCUGGCGACCCGAAGAUCUCUGAGUCUGCUGCGCCUUGCUGGGCGCUCUCCAGGAAGUUCGCUUCAUCAUCUGCCCUUCAUCAACACGGAAACAGUCCAGAGGAUUUCCAUCUUCUUCCACAGAAGCACCACAGCCGCUGAUGCACUGAAGAGAAACCAGAGGAUCCUUGACCUUCCACAACACAAGCUCAUAACAGAUGUUGUUGUCUGAUGGAGCAGCGCCUAUGAGAUGCUCUCCCGGCUUCUCGAGCAGCAGUCUGCCGUCUGUGCUGCACUCUUAUCUCCUGAGGGAGAAGAGGCUGAGGGUCUCUAGUGGACUGGAGGAGAAUAACAGGGAGAAGCAAAGCAGAGAGCUGGGGAUGAGAGUGUGUGUGGAUGCAGAGAGAGACUGAGGAGCAGAUUGUGACAGAGGUUUUGCAAGCCCUCAGGCCAAUGCUGGUGGCAACAAACAUCAUGUGCGAGGAGAAGAGCCCAGUUUCAGAACAGUUUCUGUCAUUGCUCCACUUCAUGCCCAACUUUUGAGUGACAUAAUCGGCACCAUUGAGAAUUCCCCUCUUGUCAGAGAGAUAAAGAGCACCAUCCAUCAAGACCUAUCAAAGAGAUAUGGCUCCACAGAGGAGAAAAACAACUUGUAUGUCUCAUCAGCCUCAGACCCCAGGUUUAAACGUCUGCUCUUCCUGUUCCAAGAUAUGCGGAGAUGUAUUCCUAAACCUCUUUGGCAUGUCAAUGGCUGCUGUUCUGCAGAGGAUGUUGCAGACUUGGAAAUGCAGAAUAAUUCUCAAGAGAGCACUACUGAGCACAGUGCUGCUGCAUGUCUUGACACCAGUGACGAUGGAUGAUUGAAUGAAUGAUCCCUCCACUGCACACACACCAAAGAAGAGGAAUUCUGCACCUGCUGACCUCCUCAGGAAGACAUUCAAGAGCACCAGAGCUCCCUUGUUGUUGGCUACUUUCAUAGCUGACUAUGAAAGUAGCCAACAAAGUAGCUGACUAAUGUGUCUGCAGGAAAAAUCUUUUUGACUGCUGUUGACAUAAUUAGGAGUGUAAAGGUUUUGACACCGAGACUGAAACCACGACACAAAUGUCCACAGUCUCGAGGCGCGGUUCCGUCUUUUAUGUGAAGUCAAUUUAUGAAGUUAAUCUACCGUCAUAGUGUUCUUCAGUGUUUUUGAUAUUGCAAAUUGUAACUGAUUUAAUAAAACCCAGAAUUUUUUUCCCUGUCUUGUCUUAUUAGAGUGAUGGCACAUGUGGACAAGUUGCAGUCAGUGUGUGUAGUGUGUUAAGCUAAGACUCUAUUGUUUCAUCUCAGUUGUCAAAUUCUGUGAAACUGACACCACAGUUCCAUAAUAAAUACAUAAAUAAAUACAUGCUUUUUGCCUGUU